AGAAUCACUCAAUUCCCAGACUCUUUUAUGACAGUAUUUAGAAUCAGAGAGGAAAUUAAAUAAAGAGGUGCCUGUGUAGCUGGGCCUAUGACCAUUGGAGGGAAGUUUCUUACACGUAGUCUCACCAUGUAAUGAAUAGGAGAGAAAGGCAGGACCAAGCUAGAGCUCAGAAAAUGCUUGUCUUGAAGCUUCUACCUUUAAGAGUAUCUAGGUCUGGGGUAAUCAGUUUUCUGUUGUCACUAUGACUUCCAAUUAGAUAGAUAGAUAGAUAGAUAGAUAGAUAGAUAGAUAGAUAGAUAGAUUAAUUGCUUUUCCUUUAACUAGGCUACAGAAGUAUUGAUUCCUAUGGGCAUAGAGACCAUCCCAGUCCAGAUGAGAUCCCACCAUGAAAAGACCAAAGUGACAGGAAAUCUUCUGAAUCAGAAAAAGCCUGGAACUCGGUUUGAGCUGGGAUCUCACAAUUCUGAAGAGGCUUAAUCUGGCCCAGACACAUCCCCUCUACCACCUCCUCAAGGAUUCUCAAAAGUAAAUUCUCCAACUGUUUAUGCUUCACCACCACUGGAUCUAGCUGAAGUCACCCCAAGGAACAGAGUGCACUGUUUACACAGGGACACAGGUAACCUAGACUUGGGUCUAAGAUGAG
Molecule: long non-coding RNA, 643 nt
Filed under: Vulpes vulpes (red fox)
Lineage: Eukaryota; Metazoa; Chordata; Mammalia; Carnivora; Canidae
Description: lncRNA (ENSVVUG00000019558.1)
Source: RNAcentral